AUUGAACGCUGGCGGCAUGCUUUACACAUGCAAGUCGAACGGCAGCGCGGGGCAACCUGGCGGCGAGUGGCGAACGGGUGAGUAAUACAUCGGAACGUACCCAGAAGUGGGGGAUAACGUAGCGAAAGUUACGCUAAUACCGCAUACGUUCUACGGAAGAAAGUGGGGGAUCUUCGGACCUCAUGCUUUUGGAGCGGCCGAUGUCUUAUUAGCUAGUUGGUGAGGUAAAGGCUCACCAAGGCGACGAUCAGUAGCUGGUCUGAGAGGACGACCAGCCACACUGGGACUGAGACACGGCCCAGACUCCUACGGGAGGCAGCAGUGGGGAAUGUUGGACAAUGGGCGCGAGCCUGAUCCAGCAAUGCCGCGUGGGUGAAGAAGGCCUUCGGGUUGUAAAGCUCUUUUGUCAGGGAAGAAACGGCUGAGGAUAAUACCUUCGGCUAAUGACGGUACCUGAAGAAUAAGCACCGGCUAACUACGUGCCAGCCGCCGCAGUAA
RNAcentral lists this ribosomal RNA (498 nucleotides) under uncultured bacterium. RNAcentral describes it as "partial 16S ribosomal RNA". It matches the Rfam family "Bacterial small subunit ribosomal RNA", at positions 30 to 523 of the family's 1533-position model. The record is from RNAcentral.